CAGGAUAUAUUUUAAUUAAAAUACUAAUUUUGGAAAUUAGAGAUAAUAUUCAUAUUUAUACUGA
RNAcentral lists this transfer RNA (64 nucleotides) under Periphyllus acerihabitans. RNAcentral describes it as "tRNA-Pro". Lineage: Eukaryota; Metazoa; Arthropoda; Insecta; Hemiptera; Aphididae. The record is from RNAcentral.